AGGACGAACGCUGGCGGCGUGCUUAACACAUGCAAGUCGAGCGGAAAGGCCCUUCGGGGUACUCGAGCGGCGAACGGGUGAGUAACACGUGAGUAAUCUGCCCUUAGCUCUGGGAUAGCUCCGGGAAACCGGGAUUAAUACCAGAUACGACCACUUUAGACAUCUGCCGUGGUGGAAAGAAUUUCGGCUAAGGAUGAGCUCGCGGCCUAUCAGCUUGUUGGUGGGGUAACGGCCUACCAAGGCGACGACGGGUAGCCGGCCUGAGAGGGCGACCGGCCACACUGGGACUGAGACACGGCCCAGACUCCUACGGGAGGCAGCAGUGGGGAAUAUUGCGCAAUGGGCGAAAGCCUGACGCAGCGACGCCGCGUGGGGGAUGAAGGCCUUCGGGUUGUAAACCCUUUCAGCAGGGACGAAGCGAAAGUGACGGUACCUGCAGAAGAAGCGCCGGCUAACUACGCGCCAGCAGCCGC
RNAcentral lists this ribosomal RNA (473 nucleotides) under uncultured bacterium. RNAcentral describes it as "SSU rRNA". It matches the Rfam family "Bacterial small subunit ribosomal RNA", at positions 26 to 518 of the family's 1533-position model. The record is from RNAcentral.